RNAcentral lists this ribosomal RNA (253 nucleotides) under uncultured bacterium. RNAcentral describes it as "partial 16S ribosomal RNA". It matches the Rfam family "Bacterial small subunit ribosomal RNA", at positions 524 to 776 of the family's 1533-position model. The record is from RNAcentral.
UACGAAGGGGGCUAGCGUUGCUCGGAUUGACUGGGCGUAAAGGGCGCGUAGGCGGUUCGUACAGUCAGACGUGAAAUUCCUGGGCUCAACCUGGGGGCUGCGUUUGAUACGUGCGGACUUGAGUGCGGAAGAGGGUCGUGGAAUUCCCAGUGUAGAGGUGAAAUUCGUAGAUAUUGGGAAGAACACCGGUGGCGAAGGCGGCGAGCUGGUCCAUUACUGACGCUGAGGCGCGACAGCGUGGGGAGCAAACAGG